Molecule: ribosomal RNA, 523 nt
Filed under: uncultured bacterium
Lineage: Bacteria
Description: bacterial SSU rRNA
Rfam family: Bacterial small subunit ribosomal RNA
Source: RNAcentral
AGAGUUUGAUCCUGGCUCAGAUUGAACGCUGGCGGCAGGCUUAACACAUGCAAGUCGAGCGGGGAAGGGUAGCUUGCUACCUAACCUAGCGGCGGACGGGUGAGUAAUGCUUAGGAAUCUGCCUAUUAGUGGGGGACAACAUUCCGAAAGGAAUGCUAAUACCGCAUACGCCCUACGGGGGAAAGCAGGGGAUCUUCGGACCUUGCGCUAAUAGAUGAGCCUAAGUCAGAUUAGCUAGUUGGUGGGGUAAAGGCCUACCAAGGCGACGAUCUGUAGCGGGUCUGAGAGGAUGAUCCGCCACACUGGGACUGAGACACGGCCCAGACUCCUACGGGAGGCAGCAGUGGGGAAUAUUGGACAAUGGGCGCAAGCCUGAUCCAGCCAUGCCGCGUGUGUGAAGAAGGCCUUUUGGUUGUAAAGCACUUUAAGCGAGGAGGAGGCUACUUGGAUUAAUACUCUAGGAUAGUGGACGUUACUCGCAGAAUAAGCACCGGCUAACUCUGUGCCAGCAGCCGCGGUAAUA